RNAcentral lists this ribosomal RNA (73 nucleotides) under Salmonella enterica subsp. enterica serovar Typhi. The record is from RNAcentral. Lineage: Bacteria; Pseudomonadati; Pseudomonadota; Gammaproteobacteria; Enterobacterales; Enterobacteriaceae.
GGGUGCGAUCAUGCCAGCACUAAAUCAUCGGAUCCUAUUAGAACUCCGAAGUUAAGUGUGCUUGGGCGAGAGU